Molecule: ribosomal RNA, 151 nt
Filed under: uncultured bacterium
Lineage: Bacteria
Description: partial 16S ribosomal RNA
Rfam family: Bacterial small subunit ribosomal RNA
Source: RNAcentral
UAUUGGUCAAUGGGCGCGAGCCUGAACCAGCCAAGUCGCGUGAGGGAUGACGGCCCUACGGGUUGUAAACCUCUUUUGUCGGGGAGCAAAUUCCGUUACGUGUAACGGAGUCGAGAGUACCCGAAGAAAAAGCAUCGGCUAACUCCGUGCC